This 230-nucleotide ribosomal RNA is filed under the name uncultured bacterium. RNAcentral describes it as "partial 16S ribosomal RNA". It matches the Rfam family "Bacterial small subunit ribosomal RNA", at positions 562 to 791 of the family's 1533-position model. The record is from RNAcentral.
AAAGCGUGCGCAGGCGGUUUUGUAAGACUGUCGUGAAAUCCCCGGGCUCAACCUGGGAAUGGCGAUGGUGACUGCAAGGCUAGAGUUUGGCAGAGGGGGGUAGAAUUCCACGUGUAGCAGUGAAAUGCGUAGAUAUGUGGAGGAACACCGAUGGCGAAGGCAGCCCCCUGGGUCAAAACUGACGCUCAUGCACGAAAGCGUGGGGAGCAAACAGGAUUAGAUACCCGAGU